AACGCACGAGACCUGCGGACCUGCGGAAGGAUCAUUAUUGAAUAAACUUGGUUGGGCUGUUGCUGGCUCCUUGGAGCAUGUGCACGCCUAGCACCAAUUUUUACCACCUGUGCACCUUUGUGGACCUGGAUACCUCUCGAGGAAACUCGGUUGGAGGACUGCUGUGCGAAAGCCAGCUUUCCUUACAUUUCCGGUUCAUGUUUUCACAUACCCCAUACGAAUGUAACAGAAUGUCGUUUA
RNAcentral lists this unclassified non-coding RNA (240 nucleotides) under soil metagenome. RNAcentral's name for it is "partial contains 5.8S ribosomal RNA, internal transcribed spacer 2, and large subunit ribosomal RNA". The record is from RNAcentral.